RNAcentral lists this ribosomal RNA (468 nucleotides) under Terrahaemophilus aromaticivorans. RNAcentral describes it as "bacterial SSU rRNA". It matches the Rfam family "Bacterial small subunit ribosomal RNA", at positions 30 to 486 of the family's 1533-position model. The record is from RNAcentral. Lineage: Bacteria; Pseudomonadati; Pseudomonadota; Gammaproteobacteria; Pasteurellales; Pasteurellaceae.
AUUGAACGCUGGCGGCAGGCUUAACACAUGCAAGUCGAACGGUAACAUGAAGAAGCUUGCUUCUUUGAUGACGAGUGGCGGACGGGUGAGUAAUGCUUGGGAAUCUAGCUUAUGGAGGGGGAUAACUACGGGAAACUGUAGCUAAUACCGCGUAGAAUCGAGAGAUGAAAGUGUGGGACCUUCGGGCCACAUGCCAUAGGAUGAGCCCAAGUGGGAUUAGGUAGUUGGUGAGGUAAAGGCUCACCAAGCCGACGAUCUCUAGCUGGUCUGAGAGGAUGACCAGCCACACUGGGACUGAGACACGGCCCAGACUCCUACGGGAGGCAGCAGUGGGGAAUAUUGCGCAAUGGGGGCAACCCUGACGCAGCCAUGCCGCGUGAAUGAAGAAGGCCUUCGGGUUGUAAAGUUCUUUCGGUAGCGAGGAAGGCAUUUAGUUCAAUAGACUAAGUGAUUGACGUAACUACAGAA